RNAcentral lists this ribosomal RNA (497 nucleotides) under uncultured bacterium. Its description in RNAcentral is "partial 16S ribosomal RNA". It matches the Rfam family "Bacterial small subunit ribosomal RNA", at positions 28 to 507 of the family's 1533-position model. The record is from RNAcentral.
GAUGAACGCUGGCGGCGUGCCUAAUACAUGCAAGUCGAGCGAACAGACGAGGAGCUUGCUCCUCUGACGUUAGCGGCGGACGGGUGAGUAACACGUGGAUAACCUACCUAUAAGACUGGGAUAACUUCGGGAAACCGGAGCUAAUACCGGAUAAUAUAUUGAACCGCAUGGUUCAAUAGUGAAAGACGGUUUUGCUGUCACUUAUAGAUGGAUCCGCGCCGCAUUAGCUAGUUGGUAAGGUAACGGCUUACCAAGGCAACGAUGCGUAGCCGACCUGAGAGGGUGAUCGGCCACCCUGGAACUGAGACACGGUCCAGACUCCUACGGGAGGCAGCAGUAGGGAAUCUUCCGCAAUGGGCGAAAGCCUGACGGAGCAACGCCGCGUGAGUGAUGAAGGUCUUCGGAUCGUAAAACUCUGUUAUUAGGGAAGAACAAAUGUGUAAGUAACUAUGCACGUCUUGACGGUACCUAAUCAGAAAGACACGGCUAACUACGUG